RNAcentral lists this ribosomal RNA (292 nucleotides) under uncultured bacterium. Its description in RNAcentral is "partial 16S ribosomal RNA". It matches the Rfam family "Bacterial small subunit ribosomal RNA", at positions 505 to 796 of the family's 1533-position model. The record is from RNAcentral.
GUGUCAGCCGCCGCGGUAAUACGGAGGGUGCAAGCGUUAAUCGGAAUUACUGGGCGUAAAGCGCGCGUAGGCGGCUCGGUCAGUCGGGUGUGAAAUCCCUGGGCUCAACCUGGGAACUGCAUUCGAUACUGCCGAGCUAGAGUGUGGGAGAGGGUAGUGGAAUUCCCGGUGUAGCGGUGAAAUGCGUAGAUAUCGGGAGGAACAUCAGUGGCGAAGGCGACUGCCUGGCCCAACACUGACGCUGAGGUGCGAAAGCGUGGGUAGCAAACAGGAUUAGAUACCCUUGUAGUCC